RNAcentral lists this long non-coding RNA (262 nucleotides) under Capsella grandiflora. Its description in RNAcentral is "long non-coding RNA (CGRA_LNC001495)". Lineage: Eukaryota; Viridiplantae; Streptophyta; Magnoliopsida; Brassicales; Brassicaceae. The record is from RNAcentral.
UCAGUCACAUGUUCUUAUACCGAAAAGAUUGAAGGAAAAAUAAACAACAUCGCCGUUAAAUCCAAGUUGUUGAUAAUAAAACGUUCCGUUUAUUGUAUGUCUGUACUUGUUACUUGAUACAGAACGAUAUAUAUACAUUAUUCAAAAGUUACCCACUGGUGUGUCCCAUGUUACAGAUUCUGAAACUCUUCUCCACAAAAAUAGCUUCGAGAAAGCAGUAAUCAUCACUGAAAAACAGGUUGGGAAGAGAUUGAUCCGGGCU